AUGGUGACCUCUAACCCCAGCCCCCAAGAAUAUGAAAGUGAUGACGACUCUUAUGAAGUGUUGGAUUUAACUGAGUAUGCAAGAAGACAUCAGCGGUGGAAUUGAGUGUUUGGCCCCAGUUGGAGACCUAUGGUGUUACAGAGAAAUACUCAGUAGCUACCCAGAUUGGAAUGUGUGGCGUGACAGGCUGGUAUGCAGGAUUUUUGCUCCCAAAAGUUGGGAAGGUUGCAGCAACUGCAGUGACUUCCAGAUUGACUGGAAGAGAAUUGAAAGAGACGUACAUAAAGCAAAAAGACAUACUAAGACUAAGAAAUGAGCAAAUAAAGCAGCACCUGAAAUCAACAAUACAGUUGAAGAAGCAACUGACUUUAUCAAACAGAACAUUGUGAUAUCCACUGAAUUUGUGGGAGGCUUUUUGCUAAGACUUGCAUUUUAA
RNAcentral lists this long non-coding RNA (436 nucleotides) under Homo sapiens (human). Its description in RNAcentral is "non-protein coding lnc-FAM50B-6:1". Lineage: Eukaryota; Metazoa; Chordata; Mammalia; Primates; Hominidae. The record is from RNAcentral.